UGUUGAGGAAGAUAAUGACGGUACUCAACAAGGAAGUGACGGCUAACUACGUGCCAGCAGCCGCGGUAAAACGUAGGUCACAAGCGUUGUCCGGAAUUACUGGGUGUAAAGGGAGCGCAGGCGGGAARACAAGUUGGAAGUGAAAUCCAUGGGCUCAACCCAUGAACUGCUUUCAAAACUGUUUUUCUUGAGUAGUGCAGAGGUAGGCGGAAUUCCCGGUGUAGCGGUGGAAUGCGUAGAUAUCGGGAGGAACACCAGUGGCGAAGGCGGCCUACUGGGCACCAACUGACGCUGAGGCUCGAAAGUGUGGGUAGCAAACAGGAUUAGAUACCCUGGUAGUCCACACCGUAAACGAUGAUUACUAGGUGUUGGAGGAUUGACCCCUUCAGUGCCGCAGUUAACACAAUAAGUAAUCCACCUGGGGAGUACGACCGCAAGGUUGAAACUCAAAGGAAUUGACGGGGGCCCGCACAAGCAGUGGAGUAUGUGGUUUAAUUCGACGCAACGCGAAGAACCUUACCAAGUCUUGACAUCCCUUGACGAUGCUGGAAACAGUAUUUCUCUUCGGAGCAAGGAGACAGGUGGUGCAUGGUUGUCGUCAGCUCGUGUCGUGAGAUGUUGGGUUAAGUCCCGCAACGAGCGCAACCCUUAUGGUCAGUUACUACGCAAGAGGACUCUGGCCGGACUGC
RNAcentral lists this ribosomal RNA (689 nucleotides) under Faecalibacterium prausnitzii. Its description in RNAcentral is "bacterial SSU rRNA". It matches the Rfam family "Bacterial small subunit ribosomal RNA", at positions 437 to 1152 of the family's 1533-position model. The record is from RNAcentral. Lineage: Bacteria; Bacillati; Bacillota; Clostridia; Eubacteriales; Oscillospiraceae.